AGCGGAGGAAAAGAAACCAACCGGGAUUGCCUUAGUAACGGCGAGUGAAGCGGCAAAAGCUCAAAUUUGAAAUCUGGUACCUUCGGUGCCCGAGUUGUAAUUUGGAGAGGGCAACUUUGGGGCCGUUCCUUGUCUAUGUUCCUUGGAACAGGACGUCAUAGAGGGUGAGAAUCCCGUGUGGCGAGGAGUGCGGUUCUUUGUAAAGUGCCUUCGAAGAGUCGAGUUGUUUGGGAAUGCAGCUCUAAGUGGGUGGUAAAUUCCAUCUAAAGCUAAAUAUUGGCGAGAGACCGAUAGCGAACAAGUACAGUGAUGGAAAGAUGAAAAGAACUUUGAAAAGAGAGUGAAAAAGUACGUGAAAUUGUUGAAAGGGAAGGGCAUUUGAUCAGACAUGGUGUUUUGUGCCCUCUGCUCCUUGUGGGUAGGGGAAUCUCGCAUUUCACUGGGCCAGCAUCAGUUUUGGUGGCAGGAUAAAUCCAUAGGAAUGUAGCUUGCCUCGGUAAGUAUUAUAGCCUGUGGGAAUACUGCCAGCUGGGACUGAGGACUGCGACGUAAGUCA
RNAcentral lists this ribosomal RNA (556 nucleotides) under Saccharomyces cerevisiae (brewer's yeast). RNAcentral's name for it is "partial large subunit ribosomal RNA". It matches the Rfam family "Eukaryotic large subunit ribosomal RNA", at positions 49 to 608 of the family's 3401-position model. Lineage: Eukaryota; Fungi; Ascomycota; Saccharomycetes; Saccharomycetales; Saccharomycetaceae. The record is from RNAcentral.